UACGUAGGUGGCAAGCGUUGUCCGGAUUUACUGGGCGUAAAGAGCGCGCAGGCGGUCGUUCAAGUCGCGUGUGAAAGCCCCCGGCUCAACUGGGGAGGGUCACGCGAUACUGAUCGACUCGAAGGCAGGAGAGGGUAGUGGAAUUCCCGGUGUAGUGGUGAAAUGCGUAGAUAUCGGGAGGAACACCAGUGGCGAAGGCGACUACCUGGCCUGUUCUUGACGCUGAGGCGCGAAAGCGUGGGGAGCGAACAGG
RNAcentral lists this ribosomal RNA (253 nucleotides) under uncultured bacterium. RNAcentral's name for it is "partial 16S ribosomal RNA". It matches the Rfam family "Bacterial small subunit ribosomal RNA", at positions 524 to 776 of the family's 1533-position model. The record is from RNAcentral.